GUGGGCUGUGGUGCCCGGGCCGCCACGCCCAGCUCAGAGGGGCUCUGGGUGGCGGAUGCCACACCCACCUCCUUUCUCUUUUCUCGAGUGCAGAUACCAACGAUUGCAACCCUCUGCCCUGCUACAAUGGCGGUGUCUGUGUCGAUGGCGUCAACUGGUUCCGCUGCGAGUGUGCUCCCGGCUUCGCGGGCCCCGACUGCCGCAUCAUGAACUGUUCACGUGGAGGAAGCCUGAAAGGCCAGGAAC
Molecule: long non-coding RNA, 246 nt
Organism: Myotis brandtii (Brandt's bat)
Lineage: Eukaryota; Metazoa; Chordata; Mammalia; Chiroptera; Vespertilionidae
Exons: 3
Source: RefSeq, a predicted model, not a curated record